Molecule: long non-coding RNA, 831 nt
Organism: Saccostrea echinata
Lineage: Eukaryota; Metazoa; Mollusca; Bivalvia; Ostreida; Ostreidae
Exons: 3
Source: RefSeq, a predicted model, not a curated record
GACACAAUAUGAUUGGUCAGAUUUUAAAACUCUUCCGUACUGUUCUCUGAUUGGUCAACAAUAUUUCACCCACGCCAUUUUGAAAAUUCUUCCCGGGACGUGUUGAGAAAGCUGGAGGUGAUUUUGAAUAAACUCUCAUUUGCUCGCGAGUAAAAUGGAUCGAAAAACAGAAGUUCAGCAUAAUCAUGGUACACAGGAUCAUAUAUAUGAACCAAGGAAAGCAAAUACAUAAGGAGACUGACGUUUUUUAGGCAUCAUAUCCGGACUUUUAUGGUGUAAACAACGACAGUUGCGUCAGCAGAACAUUGAAGAAAAGCUGAUUAGUCAUGGAGGAAGAAGAUCCCUCUCAAGAAAGUAUUGCAGUGAUGAAGUCAGAUGAGAUGACAGGUUGUGUGAUUUGAAGAUGGACUUCUGCAACAAAGUAAACACUCCUCUACCUUUUCCAUACAAAAGAAACAGCAAAGCAGAGAGAUCGAAACAUUUGGUAAAAGUACAAAGAAAACAGGAUUAGUUAAACUUGUGAAAAAUAUCAAGACUAUUGAAGAGCAGAUUAUAUGUAAAAAGAAAGAUCAAGACUACAAUUGGUAGCUGAAUCAGUAGCCUGGCCACAUUAAUUACUUUUUAAUUAGCUAUUUGUACAUUUGAGGUAAUCUGACUGAGUUACUAAAAUUGUUUUUUAACAAAUAUUUCAAAUAAAUAAAAGAUUUUUGAAUAACAAUCAAUAGAUGCUAUUAAGAACCUCAAUCUCCAACCCCUUUUCUUCAAAUAACAAUUUUUGCCCAUGAUCAUUUUUGUAGUUUUUAAAACUCUGUUUUGUAUUAUUUUAAGCAU